RNAcentral lists this long non-coding RNA (4389 nucleotides) under Bemisia tabaci. RNAcentral describes it as "lncRNA ENSSSA1UGG006140". Lineage: Eukaryota; Metazoa; Arthropoda; Insecta; Hemiptera; Aleyrodidae. The record is from RNAcentral.
AACAAUUCAAUACCUACUUAUCAUAACGACCGAGCUAUCACACUGGUAAAAAAAAACACAGUGGAUCUAGAGUCCAGACUCUUGAAAACAUUGACAGGAAAAGGGACUCUUGAUUCAAUCAGAUUUAAGCUUAAAUCAAGAGCCAAGCCUCUUAAUUUGAGCGGAUUUCCUUUUGAUUUAAGCUUAAAUCUGAUUGAAUCAAGAGUCCAUUUUCUUGUCAAUGUUUUCAAGAGUCUGGACUCUAGAUCCAAUGUGUUUUUUUUUACCAGUGCAUUUGUUUUUACGGUUUUUAAUUUAUACACUCCUCAGAUGUUGAAUGAACAGAGCUGUAAAUACAAACUGUUCAUCAUACAAGUGGACGUAUUUAUGCGAAAAGGAGCUAUGUGGAAGUGGAAAGAUGGGGUGUGCUCUUAGUGGUCGGGCUAUAAGAAUGAAUGGGGAAUAUAAAGCGCCAGUGACGUCAGCGGCAAUGAAAAAGCGGAGGUCCGACGGGGACAUCGCCGUCGUCGAGCAUUAACUCAUGAGCCCUGGCCACAACGCUCUCUUGCCAUGCCCGCGGCUCAUGAGUUAGCAUAUUUUGGCGCUUAGCUCCCUUUGAUUUAAUUGAAAAUCCCGCUUUUCAAUUUUCUCAAAAGGAACUAUAUCCACUUUUACAUUGUUUCUUAUGACCCAACUAACGAGCACACCCCAUCUUUCCACUUCCACAUAUCUCCUUUUCGCAUAAAUACGUCCGUUUUAUCCUCGGCUUUAAACGAGAAAACUGGCAUAGUUGCUCUCGUUGCCUCGGCACGUGAGUUGAAAUCCGAGAAUUACCAGCGGCUCGAUUGUUGAAUCGAUAUCUAAUGACCUGGAUCGAUAGAAAGCAUUGAUAAGAUAGGGAUUUAUCGAUAGGAUCAUUCGAUAACGAUUCGAUAAUCGACCCGUACGGCGAUUUGUUGCAGAUUUGCAGUGCACGACCCUACCAAGUCGAGUGCCCAUCUUGGUGGUUCCAAGAACGAAAUUCUUCUUGGUUCUAUGUGACAAGAACUACAAGGAGGUCGCUUUCUGGUCGCCACUUACAAUUAGCCUAAUUCGCCGUUCCUCUCCCGUCAGAGCUACCCAAAGACAUAAAGACGGAGUGCUAAAAGCAAAAAAUGAAGCUUCUUUUCAACCACCUCUACUAUUGGCUAGAGCAUUGGCGGCAAAAUCGGGACAAGUUUGAAAUUCAAAUGUAGGGCGGGAACUAAAUAAAAUUGCGAAAAGAAAGUAUUCUAGGUUGAUUUUUGCGCAAAUUCACUUACCCACUCAUAUUUUUGUAACUUAGGUUAGUUUUGGUCCGUCGUCGACCGAUUAAUUUCAUUUGGGAGUAACGGUCAUCUAGGACCGUAACGGCCUGUUUAAACCGGCAGGCCUCACCAUGCGCAGAAGAAAAACUAACUUUAUUUGAAAUUACUGCCUGUUACGGAGAAAAAGUAAGUGUAUUAUACUAGGUCGUAGUCCCAACUAUCUUAAUAUAUUCGUUUUAGGCAUUUAAAAUACGUUUAGAAGAAGAAAUGUGGAGAAAUCAAGAGGACAAGUUCAAAUCAAAUUUCCGUUUGCCGCCAUGGAUUCCCGCGCUCAUUUACACACUCACACAAGCACCCAGAGCCAAACAAGGCUUCACUUUUUCCCCGUGCUUUUAGAUACGAGCACUCCGUCUUUAUGUCUUUGGAGCUACCGUGCUAAGGAAAAACGCCGAAUGAACAUUCGAGAGUUGCCAAAUUUCCCUUGAUAAAACAUGUAUUUUUGACAACAUGCGUGCAUAUUUUUCCUUGAGAUUUUCAGAUAUUUUGGAUUAAAUUACGUACAAAAUUGUCUGAAAAUUUUGGAAAAUAGGAAUCACAAUUUUUCCAGUAAGCUCGAUUUUUAUCGGAGGGAACUUGGCAACGUCUGAAGGUUCAUACGGCGUUCUUCCUUAGCACGGCGGAGAGCGUAUCUAGAUUUCCGCGUGAGUCUCAGAGAGCAUGGAUUUCAGUGCCGUGGCGUGAAUGAUCGAUUAUCGAUAUGUCUCCAUUUGAAGCUAUGGUAAAGAAUCCAUUAUUAAGGUGUUCGCUGCGAACAACCGGUUUAUCGAUCUUUAUCCAUAGGUUUAAAUGGCAGAUUUACCGAUAUAUCGCAAAGCACGCCCGCCACUGAUGGAUUUUUAUGUAAAACCGGAUUCACGUGGAAUUUGAGAUACGCUCUUACGCCAGGCGAUCGAUUUUCGAUAUUUUUCUACUUGAAGCUAUGGUGAAGAAUGGAUUAUUAAGGUGUUCGUUGCGAACACCCUAUGUAUCGAUCCUUUUCCAUAGGUUUAAAUGGCCGAUCAAUCGAUAUAUCGCAAAGCACAGCACACAAAUGCGCCAGAGGGGUGACAAAUUGCCAAUAUGGUCCGUGACCGUAAAAAAAGUAAGAAAAAAAAACCUCUGUCAAAAUAGGUUCUGUUAAAAACUUCAAUUAGUGCAAAACCAAGGAAUGCCCCGUGGGAAAAAGGGUAAAAAAUCACGAUAAACGCAUUCGUAAAGUUUAUACUUCACGCCCUGCCUUGCCUCAUGAUUAGGGUGAAAGAUUUGCACAUUUUUGAGCCUCUUACACUGAAAAAAAUUCUCGGCGUUUUUACCAAGGUCCGUUGGUACCUUUAAUAUCUCACUUUUUUUACCAAUUAUUGGUAAUUUUACCAAGACAGACUGGUAAGCUUACCUAAAAACCGGUAUUUUUUGCUGUUUUUUUUUUUUUCCGGUAAGAAUACCAAUUUUAUUGGUAAUAAAUUCCCGGUAACUUCGCCAUUUUAUCUCGGUAAUUCUACCACAGUCGAUAAAAAAUAUUGGCGUUUUUACCAAGGUCCAGUAAAAUUACCGAGAAAGUUCAAUAAUUUUACCGAGAUUUCUCGGUAAAAUUACCAAUUCCAUAAAUGAUAAUUUUACCAAGAAAAAACUGGGAUCAAAUGGAACCCUGAAUUCUUGUUAAUUUAAUCCUUUUCUCAGUGAAUACACCGUGAUUUUUUUUUCAGUGUAUAACUUUAGGAUGUAUGAUGGUAUAGCCGUAAUUUGAUGCAUCAUAAUCCAGUUACAACCAGUUUGAUCCGGUUUCAUUAUUCUGCACGAAUCUCAAAAUAGCGUCCGACAUAGGAUGGAAUUUCAGAUGGGAAAUAUGAAGCAAACAAGCGACAAAAUGCAACGAUAGAGCUUUUUAUAAUUAAAGUGCAAAUACAGAGGGCAGAAGAAAAGUUUUUGGAAUGAUAUAUGUGUUGGCUGAAUAAGUAUUUGAGAAGUUGCAGAUUGUGAAGGGAUAUUGAAGUUUGGUAUUAAAAAAAAAAAAAAAAAAAAAAAAAACCCGAAAAAUACAAACAGGGUGUCUAGUCUACUAAAACAGGCUGGCCAAAAAUCAGUACUUAUACAGUACUUUUUCAGUACAUUUCCAAAAUUCAGUACCUCCUCAACAGAAAAAUUUAGUACUUUUUCAAUACCUUCGACUGACGAAAUUUGAAAAUUUUGAAUUUCCCGCUCAAAUUGCGACAAAAUGAAAGAAAUUCCGGAUUUUCUCCCAAAAUUUCCGCACUUUUUCCGUACUUCCGGACCGCUCUUGAAAAAUCAGUACUAUUUCCGGACUUUCCGGAAAUUCCGGACUUGUGGACACCCUGACAAAAGAAUUUAAAACCUGCGAAACCACUGAAUAUCCGAACAUCCCAACCGCGAAAAUAAUCGUAAUAAUACAGUAUUUUUAAGAUUUGGUGUAAAGAGAUCAAACAAAUAGUUUUCAACCAGGACUCAAAAGCCUCUCUUCCGAAUUCACAAUUUUAGGAGGUCCUUAAGACAGAAGCAACGAUAGGAUUUUUUAUGAUUAAAAUGCAACUUGUAAAUCAGGAAAGAAAAGUUUUUUAAUAAUAAAUGCACUGGGUAAAUGAGCAUUUGGAAAUGUAGAGAGUAGAAAGGAAUCUUGAAGUCUGUUAUAUUAUUAAAAAAGCAAAAACGAAAAAGAAAAAGAAACACAUACUUAUACGAAACCCUGAAUAUCCGAAUAUCCCAACCGUGGGAAUAAUCGUGACAAUAGACCAUAUUCGAUGGUGGUUCGAUGUAUCGUUUGGUUCAAAACAAUAGAACAUAACCUCAAACAGAACCAUUAGGAUUUAAGUUGGAAAAGCUGAAAAUGAGAAAAUUCCUAACAAUUUCACUUCGCAUUGGCAUUUGGUACUCAAAAGAAUAAAGAUCUAUUACAAAAGACCCGUUCCCUCAGAUUUCUGAAUUGACUUUUGAGGCUAUGUUUAUGUUUUGAACCAAUCGAUAUCGAUACAAUCUCACCCGUUUGAUGUAUCGAAUACGAUCUAUACAGUAUUUUUACAACGCGGUGUUGAGAGUUCAAGCAAAUAGUUUUCAACCGGGGCUGAAAAGCUUC